Molecule: non-coding RNA, 491 nt
Organism: Marmota flaviventris (yellow-bellied marmot)
Lineage: Eukaryota; Metazoa; Chordata; Mammalia; Rodentia; Sciuridae
Source: RefSeq, a predicted model, not a curated record
AUGCCCUGUGACUUCUCAUGAAGCAGCAUGGCCCACACCAGAAGCUGGUACCAGGCUUUUAGACUCCCUGCCUCCAGAACCACAGGUUUCUGCUAAGUUGUUAAUGGCCUCCCUGAGUUGCUGAGUCUGGCCUUAAACUCAAUACUCCUGACUUACCCAUAAGUCACUGGGAUUACAGCACUUCCAAAAUCUGAAGGUUACACUGAAGCCUGCCUGGUCCGCUUUUCUGGAUGCCUCCCUCUCACACCAUCUUCUCGCUGCUCCAGGUGAAACCCCAGGCCACCAUCAUCUGGAUCUUCUCUUGACAAUUGAGUCUUCGGUUGUCUACAUGCCCUGUGUCCCUCUUUUUGUCAUUUCAAAUCCCCAAGUAACUUUCAAAGAAAGGGUCUGUGGGAGCUAAAAUUCUGAGUCUGCAUUUCUUUGGUUUUGCUGUAUGACAAACCAUCACAAAACUCAGUGGUGAAACAACCGUUUAGUUUUCCCUCACACAU